AGGGCCCCGAGGCCACACCGCCCCCCCGCAGAUCACCGGCCCCCAGCACCCGUGCGGAGCAGGAGCCCGCGCUGCCGGACGAGCCGCUCUACGCCAACGUCACGGGGCCGGACGAGGCUCUGGGACUGUGGGACGAGACGGACCAUUACUAGAGGCCACCGCCCCCGUCGCCGUCUCCCCGUGACAGCACACACGGCCUCCCGCCCUCACCCACUGCCACCGCGGGCAGCGCGUCCCUGCUCCCCGCCCCGGGGCCCGACGAGGCUCCCGCAGCCCCGGCGCCGCUUUGCUGCGUUAACGAGCUGCUCAGCACCGAUCCUGCAGCCGGAGCGACCCCGGCUCCCCGGGAUCUGCCGGCAAGUGCAUUGAUUACUCGGAGUUAGGAUGCACUAUAAUAAAGCACUGGAUGGAUGAA
This is a long non-coding RNA of Dromaius novaehollandiae (emu), 415 nucleotides long. RefSeq lists it as uncharacterized. The record is from RefSeq and is a predicted model, not a curated record. NCBI's taxonomy places the organism in Eukaryota, Metazoa, Chordata, Aves, Casuariiformes, Dromaiidae. The transcript is spliced from 2 exons.